UGGACGGUAGCUCAAUGGCAGAGCAACGGACUGUUAAUCCGUCGGUUGGAGGUUCGAGUCCUCCCCGUCCAGCCA
Molecule: transfer RNA, 75 nt
Filed under: Candidatus Eiseniibacteriota bacterium
Lineage: Bacteria; Candidatus Eiseniibacteriota
Description: tRNA-Asn
Rfam family: tRNA
About the family: Transfer RNA (tRNA) molecules are approximately 80 nucleotides in length. Their secondary structure includes four short double-helical elements and three loops (D, anti-codon, and T loops). Further hydrogen bonds mediate the characteristic L-shaped molecular structure. tRNAs have two regions of fundamental functional importance: the anti-codon, which is responsible for specific mRNA codon recognition, and the 3' end, to which the tRNAs corresponding amino acid is attached (by aminoacyl-tRNA synthetases). tRNAs cope with the degeneracy of the genetic code in two manners: having more than one tRNA (with a specific anti-codon) for a particular amino acid; and 'wobble' base-pairing, i.e. permitting non-standard base-pairing at the 3rd anti-codon position.
Source: RNAcentral